CACGUAGGGUGCGAGCGUUGUCCGGAAUUAUUGGGCGUAAAGAGCUCGUAGGUGGUUUGUCGCGUUGUUCGUGAAAACCGGGGGCUUAACCCUCGGCGUGCGGGCGAUACGGGCAGACUUGAGUACUGCAGGGGAGACUGGAAUUCCUGGUGUAGCGGUGGAAUGCGCAGAUAUCAGGAGGAACACCGGUGGCGAAGGCGGGUCUCUGGGCAGUAACUGACGCUGAGGAGCGAAAGCGUGGGGAGCGAACAGG
RNAcentral lists this ribosomal RNA (253 nucleotides) under uncultured bacterium. RNAcentral describes it as "partial 16S ribosomal RNA". It matches the Rfam family "Bacterial small subunit ribosomal RNA", at positions 524 to 776 of the family's 1533-position model. The record is from RNAcentral.